RNAcentral lists this ribosomal RNA (497 nucleotides) under uncultured bacterium. RNAcentral describes it as "partial 16S ribosomal RNA". It matches the Rfam family "Bacterial small subunit ribosomal RNA", at positions 28 to 507 of the family's 1533-position model. The record is from RNAcentral.
GAUGAACGCUGGCGGCGUGCCUAAUACAUGCAAGUCGAGCGAACAGACGAGGAGUUUGCUCCUUUGACGUUAGCGGCGGACGGGUGAGUAACACGUAGGUAACCUACCUAUAAGACUGGGAUAACUUCGGGAAACCGGAGCUAAUACCGGAUAAUAUUUCGAACCGCAUGGUUCGAUAGUGAAAGAUGGCUUUGCUAUCACUUAUAGAUGGACCUGCGCCGUAUUAGCUAGUUGGUAAGGUAACGGCUUACCAAGGCAACGAUACGUAGCCGACCUGAGAGGGUGAUCGGCCACACUGGAACUGAGACACGGUCCAGACUCCUACGGGAGGCAGCAGUAGGGAAUCUUCCGCAAUGGGCGAAAGCCUGACGGAGCAACGCCGCGUGAGUGAUGAAGGUCUUCGGAUCGUAAAACUCUGUUAUUAGGGAAGAACAAACGUGUAAGUAACUGUGCACGUCUUGACGGUACCUAAUCAGAAAGCCACGGCUAACUACGUG